Molecule: long non-coding RNA, 654 nt
Filed under: Homo sapiens (human)
Lineage: Eukaryota; Metazoa; Chordata; Mammalia; Primates; Hominidae
Description: non-protein coding lnc-TMEM272-1:5
Source: RNAcentral
AAAGGGAGAAAGAAAGCGUGCGACAGGGAGUGGGAGCCCCAAGUCAAGAGGAGCCCCACAGAGGCAGCCCUGGACUUCGGGACCACAGAGGUGCUGAGUGCUGCCCGAUUCUGGAUCCCACUCUGCUUAGCUCAGAACUUUGUCAGCGAGCAAGAACAAUGCCAGGAGGUCUGGAGAAAACGUGUCAUCAGUGCAUUUCUAAAAUCGCCAGCAAUGCCUGCUUCGUUGUUGUGCUCUGUGCUUUCCUGGCUCUGCCGCUGUCCAUGACCUUCAUAGGUGUCUCUCCUGUUGUACGACUCCACCAGGAUGAGGCGGCUGCUGUCCAAGGCCGUGGUGAUUGAUGACGAUGACGAUGACGAAUACCCCUGGAGGCAGAAUGCGCACAGAUACUACAUCCACCUCCUGCUGAGCCUCUUCCUCUUCCUCUGGUUCAUCCUGGGAAACUACUGGGUCUUUUCUGUGUACCUGCCUGAUUUUCUUCCCCCUUUCCAGCAGCCUCAGGACUACUGUGACAAAACCCUGUACCUCUUUGCAGUCGGAGUCCUGGCGCUCAGUCACACUGUGCUGGUCUUGCUCCUGCUGUGCAGCGGCUGUGUCUACCUGUGCUCCAGGUGGAGACUUGCUGCCGAUGAAGACUGACAGCUGCCUUGUCCA